CGCUAGCGGCAGGCCUAAUACAUGCAAGUCGAAGGACUAUAUGUUUUUCGGAAUAUAUAUUAGUGGCGCACGGGUGAGUAACACGUACAUAACUUGCCCUCAAGCGGGGGAUAGCCUUGGGAAACCUGAGAGUAAUACCCCCAUAGAAUUAUUGGACGGCAUCGUUUGAUAAUUAAAACUACGGUGUUUGGGGAUAGAUGUGCGUCUGAUUAGCUAGUUGGUGAGGUAACUGCUCACCAAGGCGACGAUCAGUAGGGGGCGUGAGAGCGUGGCCCCCCACACGGGUACUGAGACACGGACCCGACUCCUACGGGAGGCAGCAGUAAGGAAUAUUGGUCAAUGGAGGGAACUCUGAACCAGCCAUGCCGCGUGAAGGAUGACGGCCCUCUGGGUUGUAAACUUCUUUUGGAUGGGGCGAAAAAACGGGAUUUAUCCUGGACUGACGGUACCAUCAGAAUAAGCACCGGCUAACUCCGUG
This 478-nucleotide ribosomal RNA is filed under the name uncultured bacterium. RNAcentral's name for it is "bacterial SSU rRNA". It matches the Rfam family "Bacterial small subunit ribosomal RNA", at positions 34 to 507 of the family's 1533-position model. The record is from RNAcentral.